This 253-nucleotide ribosomal RNA is filed under the name uncultured bacterium. Its description in RNAcentral is "partial 16S ribosomal RNA". It matches the Rfam family "Bacterial small subunit ribosomal RNA", at positions 524 to 776 of the family's 1533-position model. The record is from RNAcentral.
UACGAAGGGGGCUAGCGUUGCUCGGAAUUACUGGGCGUAAAGCGCACGUAGGCGGCUUCUUAAGUCGGUGGUGAAAUCCUGGAGCUCAACUCCAGAACUGCCUUCGAUACUGGGAAGCUCGAGUCCGGGGGAGGUGAGUGGAACUGCGAGUGUAGAGGUGAAAUUCGUAGAUAUUCGCAAGAACACCAGUGGCGAAGGCGGCUCACUGGGCCGAUACUGACGCUGAGGAGCGAAAGCGUGGGGAGCGAACAGG